This 362-nucleotide RNase P RNA is filed under the name Gammaproteobacteria bacterium. RNAcentral describes it as "RNase P RNA component class A". It matches the Rfam family "Bacterial RNase P class A". Rfam says of the family: Ribonuclease P (RNase P) is a ubiquitous endoribonuclease, found in archaea, bacteria and eukarya as well as chloroplasts and mitochondria. Its best characterised activity is the generation of mature 5'-ends of tRNAs by cleaving the 5'-leader elements of precursor-tRNAs. Lineage: Bacteria; Pseudomonadati; Pseudomonadota; Gammaproteobacteria. The record is from RNAcentral.
GGAGUUGGCCAGGCAGUCGCUCUACGCUUAGGCGUGGGGAGGAAAGUCCGGGCUCCAUAGGGCAAAGCGCCAGGUAACACCUGGGAGAUGUAAGUCUACGGAAAGUGCCACAGAAAAUAUACCGCCUUAGAAGAAGUGCUUAGGCAUGAAUUUUAAGGCAAGGGUGAAAUGGUGCGGUAAGAGCGCACCGCAUGAUUGGCAACAGUCAUGGCAGGGAAAACCCCGCUUGGAGCAAGACCAAAUAGGAACUCGUUAAUGCGGCCCGCAUUGAGUUCGGGUAGGUUGCUUGAGUUAUUCGGUGACGAAUAAUCGAGAUGAAUGACUGUCCACGACAGAACCCGGCUUAUCGGCUGGCUCCCCUU